This is a long non-coding RNA of Stylophora pistillata, 814 nucleotides long. The record is from RefSeq and is a predicted model, not a curated record. NCBI's taxonomy places the organism in Eukaryota, Metazoa, Cnidaria, Anthozoa, Scleractinia, Pocilloporidae.
UGACGAGUGUCAAGAAGGAAAGGACGACUGUGACAAGACGACAACUACGUGUAGCAAUUACCCAGGUCAUUUCCAGUGUAAAUGUAAACCGGGAUGCGAGUGGAAGGAUCACUCAUCUUGUAAACUCCUUCAGGCAAAGCAUGCUUCCACUUCAGCGCCGACAGACACUCUCAUGGUCAAUUUCAUCCUGCAAGAUGCACAAAAAAGACAAAAAUGCAAAAAAGAUGCGAAAGAUGCAAAAAGGAGAAAAAGGACAAAAUAAAUGAGGACACCUGCAAAGUUGUCUGCAAUCAUGGUUAUGUUCUCCACCAGCCAGCUGCUGAGAUCACAACUUGCGGCAAAGAUGGGCUCUGGGUUUCUGGUCUAACAUAUUGCAUAGGGAGGUCUGUGUUAAAACGUAAACUUCAACACUGAAGACGAAAAUCUACUCAAUAUCACUGAUAACGUUGAUGAAAAUAUCUUGCUGAACUUAAAUAGGAAGACCAUGUCCAUUAUUAAAAGACAUACCAAAUGGAUCUGUGCAAGCCGGCUUCAAACUAUACCUUGAUGCCUCCACUAGUUAUGGAGGUCGUUGCAAUUACUGGUGUAAUUCUGGGUACGAUCUGAAGGGAGUCAGCUACAGAAACUGUCAGGCGGAUGGUACAUGGAGUGGAACUGAACCGAUCUGUGAAAAAAGCCAUCCGAGGUCCCCCCAAAUCACUAAACUUGAGCCGGAAGACGUUGCUUCAGCCAGUGCAGGUGGGAACGUGGCGUUGAAAUGUUUCUCUGACGGAGAACCAACGCCUUCUGUUUACUGUUUACUGGGAGUAUUUAU